This 1483-nucleotide long non-coding RNA is filed under the name Coffea arabica (coffee). RNAcentral's name for it is "long non-coding RNA (CARA_LNC003639)". Lineage: Eukaryota; Viridiplantae; Streptophyta; Magnoliopsida; Gentianales; Rubiaceae. The record is from RNAcentral.
AAAUGGUCUCCCUAUUGCUACUUGGAUCCUUCCUUGCCCUGCCCGUUGGAUCUUUGAUUUUUUUAUUUUUAUUUUUUUGAAUCAGAUCCUUGAUUGUUCAUCGUGGAUUGUCGAUUGUCACACACCUCCAGCACCCCUCUCCUGCUCUCCUUAUCCCAGGUACACACUAAUAGUACUAUAUUUUCCUUUUACUUUUUUAUUCUUUGCGGUACCAGGUGAAGAAGUUAGAAGUAGGAGAAUUUACAGUACUUGUCAACCCCUGUGGCAUGGCAUUUGUUGAGAUUUUCGGAUCUAUCCUUUUUUUUUUUUUUUUUGCAUAGAAACAUCGCUAUUUCAUUAACUUUUGAAUCUUUUUAUUCGUACACGUGAUCAAUGAGAGAUGAAAAUUUUUAUUUUGUAAAAUGUGAGGGAUUGUGGAUUAGAUUAUGUAAAUUUUGAUUUGAUAAUUUUGCCCUUCAAAAAUAAUGACGUGCAAGGCACGUGGUGGAUUCUAACCAAAGAUCAGUUGAAAACCUAGAUAUGAAUCAAAUUUGAUCGAUGUGAAUUUGUAAGGGAUUGUAAAAGUACAUCUUUAAAAGUGAGAGAUGAAAAAAAAUUAUUUUACAAAAUGUGAGAGACGUUUUGAACGAUUUUUCCUAUUACAAAUGAAAUUUCUCAGCCUUUUUUUCCCUUUUUUUAUUUUAAUCUGUACAGAGGAAGUCCAAAGUUUCGUGGUCAACGCACUUUUAUAUCUCGUAACCAUAACUUCUUCUUUUAUUUUACCUUAUUUUUGGGUCCAUAUCCUGCACAAUAGUAAGCAAUAGAAUAUGAAAAUUGAUGUAAAUAAGAAGGACAAUGUGCAAGAUGAAAUGAAACAUAAAUAAGAAAAAUGUAGCACUGCUGCAACUUUGGACAAAUAAACGAGGAGUGUGCUAAGUCUAUACCCCACUAUUGUAAAUCAACACGUUUUACAAGUAUUGAUACUAAUGAUACAGAUAAUCAGUGCAUGAGAAGUGUAAAUAUAAAACAAUUAACGUUUGUCAAGAAAAAAAAAUUAUGCAAUGUUAGUUUUUAAUUAAUUUUUCUAUCGUAAUAAAUUUCACUAUAAAGAAUGGAAAGUUACAUAUCUCAUAGUACUAUAUAGAAAAUUUUCACCAUUAAGCGUAGGUGAAAUCUCAUAUAUUUUCCGUCGCUUUUUCUAGCAAAAAAAGUCAACCAUGUAUAUUAAAAAAAAUUUUUUUUUUUUUUUGAGGGAAUCGUGUCUAUAAAAAGUUGAAUCGGUUGCUUUUGUGGGACUCAAAAUUACUCCAGAGAAAUCAUUAGGUGCAUACCCCCCACCCCGGGGCAGUACGUGGUUGUUUGCUAGUCAUUUUCUGGGAGGUUUAUCUUAUAUGCAUGCCCGAUGGACGAAAGCGGCGACUGAAACUUUUUUAAUCUCCUGUUGUAUACGGGAAUCCUGACAGGUACGCCGUCAAUUAUUACUCAUGUCCAGCGUAGAUCAUGG